CACGUAGUUAGCCGGGGCUUCUUACUCAGGUACCGUCAUUUCUUUCUUCCCUGCUGAUAGAGCUUUACAUACCGAGAUACUUCUUCACUCACGCGGCGUCGCUGGAUCAGGGUUCCCCCCAUUGUCCAAUAUCCCCCACUGCUGCCUCCCGUAGGAGUUUGGGCCGUGUCUCAGUCCCAAUGUGCCGUCCACCCUCACGCGGCG
RNAcentral lists this ribosomal RNA (204 nucleotides) under uncultured Lachnospiraceae bacterium. RNAcentral describes it as "partial 16S ribosomal RNA". The record is from RNAcentral. Lineage: Bacteria; Bacillati; Bacillota; Clostridia; Lachnospirales; Lachnospiraceae.